ACGAAGGUCCCGAGCGUUGUUCGGAAUCACUGGGCGUAAAGGGAGCGUAGGCGGCGUGGUAAGUCAGAUGUGAAAUCCCGGGGCUCAACCCCGGAACUGCAUCCGAUACUGCCGUGCUAGAGUGAUGGAGAGGUAGCUGGAAUUCUUGGUGUAGCAGUGAAAUGCGUAGAUAUCAAGAGGAACACUCGUGGCGAAAGCGAGCUACUGGACAUUUACUGACGCUGAGGCUCGAAGGCCAGGGUAGCGAAAGGG
This 252-nucleotide ribosomal RNA is filed under the name uncultured bacterium. RNAcentral's name for it is "partial 16S ribosomal RNA". It matches the Rfam family "Bacterial small subunit ribosomal RNA", at positions 525 to 776 of the family's 1533-position model. The record is from RNAcentral.